Long non-coding RNA from Betta splendens (Siamese fighting fish), 518 nucleotides. RefSeq lists it as uncharacterized. Lineage: Eukaryota; Metazoa; Chordata; Actinopteri; Anabantiformes; Osphronemidae. The transcript is spliced from 2 exons. The record is from RefSeq and is a predicted model, not a curated record.
AUUCCAGGACUUCACCAGGUCUGCAGCACGCUGAUCCUGCCAACUGAUGAAGUUGUGGAAGGGAACUCCAGUUUUCCUGUCAGAGCAGAACAAAAAGGCAGGAUCACUAGAUGUUCAACAGAGGAUGUCCACCAGAUGAGUGGAGGAGGCUACCGAACCGGUUGGACCGUACCCUGCACCGCUCCUCUGAUCACCCAGACGAAGCCGUUCCACAAAGCCUCCGGGUCCAACUCCACAUGUCCCACCUCGGGAUACAAGGGAGCAACCUGGGGAACGUGCACCACAACACGAUCAGCCUCUGAGCAACGCUUUGUGCGUGCUGCGUGGAAGUACAGAAGUACCGAAGGGCGGCGAGCAGUACCUUGGUGGAGCAUGAUCCUCGCACGUUUGCCUCCUUGUCAUAGACGUGACAUCUGAUUGACGUGGUACCGACGUCCGCCGACAAAAUGAAGCUUUCUUUCUUGAACCCGUUUCUCUGGCUCCCCAUUAAAGAGAGGCUAGUGCCGGUUGUCUUCGAA